Camellia sinensis is the source of this 670-nucleotide long non-coding RNA. RefSeq lists it as uncharacterized. Lineage: Eukaryota; Viridiplantae; Streptophyta; Magnoliopsida; Ericales; Theaceae. The record is from RefSeq and is a predicted model, not a curated record.
CCCUCCUCCAUGUCCGAAACCCUAGCUCCCCAAACCUUGAUUUCCUCCACUUUUAUCAACAAAUCCAACAUGAAUCUUGCAUCAAGGAUGGAGAACAAGAGAAGAUUAACAUUUUCUACCGAUUGGAUUUCGAAAUUUUGGAGGAAUCUCAUUAAGCUUGCUCCCUUGUUUGAUUCUUGAGGGCACACUUCAGGAGGGACAAGCACUCCGUUGUAGCACUGUGAGUAGUAGUACUAUAGUGUUGGCCAUAUAUGUAAAGUAUUCAUGACAUCCGUAGCACACGACCCUUACCCGGGGGUAAUAAUACCGUGUUUUCAAGUAUGUUACAAGUUCAAGUAUGUUUUCAAGUAUGUUACAAGUUCAAGUAUGUUUUCAGGUAAUCACUUUGGGAGUCCGUCUUAACCUUUAAUGCUCACCCUUCAGUUGUCAACCUCAGUAUGCCCAGGCUCCUAAACCAAGCUCAUGCAUUUAUGUGAAGUUUUGUUAAAAAUUUUAGUUUGCACUUUAAUUAUUUAUUUAAGGUGAAGAUGUAUGUAUGUAACCCCUUUCUUUACCAAUGCUCGGUUAUACGCUCAAUUAUGUAUAUGGGUAUGUAUUUAGAUAUAAAGCUCUCACGUAUGUGAUCCUGGCAUGUUAGUUUUAGCUCAGUGGAUGUUAUUCUAUGUUAUUU